ACGGCUCAGUAACACGUAGUCAAUCUACCCUAUGGACGGGAAUAACCUCGGGAAACUGAGAAUAAUGCCCGAUAGAACAUUAUGCCUGGAAUGGUUUAUGUUUCAAAUGAUUUAUCGCCAUAGGAUGGGACUGCGGCCUAUCAGUUUGUUGGUGAGGUAAUGGCCCACCAAGACUAUUACAGGUACGGGCUCUGAGAGGAGUAGCCCGGAGAUGGGUACUGAGACACGGACCCAGGCCCUAUGGGGCGCAGCAGGCGAGAAAACUUUGCAAUGUGCGAAAGCACGACAAGGUUAAUCCGAGUGGUUUCUGCUAAAGAAACCUUUUGUCAGUCCUAGAAACACUAACGAAUAAGGGGUGGGCAAGUUCUGGUGUCAGCCGCCGCGGUAAAACCAGCACCUCAAGUGGUCAGGAUGAUUAUUGGGCCUAAAGCAUCCGUAGCCCGUUUUGUAAGUUUUCGGUUAAAUCCAUGCGCUUAACGUAUGGGCUGCCGGGAAUACUGCAUAACUAGGAAGUGGGAGAGGUAGACGGUACUCGGUAGGAAGGGGUAAAAUCCUUUGAUCUAUUGAUGACCACCUGUGGCGAAGGCGGUCUACCAGAACACGUUCGACGGUGAGGGAUGAAAGCUGGGGGAGCAAACCGGAUUAGAUACCCGGGUAGUCCCAGCUGUAAACUAUGCAAACUCAGUGGUGCAUUGGCUCAUGGCCAAUGCAGUGCUGCAGGGUAGCCGUUAAGUUUGCCGCCUGGGAAGUACGUACGCAAGUAUGAAACUUAAAGGAAUUGGCGGGGGAGCAC
This 793-nucleotide ribosomal RNA is filed under the name uncultured archaeon. RNAcentral's name for it is "bacterial SSU rRNA". It matches the Rfam family "Archaeal small subunit ribosomal RNA", at positions 85 to 879 of the family's 1478-position model. The record is from RNAcentral.